This 46-nucleotide non-coding RNA is filed under the name Trichobilharzia regenti. Lineage: Eukaryota; Metazoa; Platyhelminthes; Trematoda; Strigeidida; Schistosomatidae. The record is from RNAcentral.
GUACUUCCGAUGAGUCACAAAAUAGGACGAAACAGUUGUCCAGUAC